CCGCAAGGGGAGUGGCAGACGGGUGAGUAACGCGUGGGAACAUACCCUUCGGUUCGGAAUAACUCAGGGAAACUUGGGCUAAUACCGGAUACGUCCGUGAGGAGAAAGAUUCAUCGCCGAAGGAUUGGCCCGCGUAAGAUUAGCUAGUUGGUGAGGUAACGGCUCACCAAGGCUAUGAUCUUUAGCUGGUCUGAGAGGACGAUCAGCCACACUGGGACUGAGACACGGCCCAGACUCCUACGGGAGGCAGCAGUGGGGAAUAUUGGACAAUGGGCGCAAGCCUGAUCCAGCCAUGCCGCGUGUGUGAAGAAGGCCUUCGGG
This 321-nucleotide ribosomal RNA is filed under the name uncultured bacterium. RNAcentral describes it as "bacterial SSU rRNA". It matches the Rfam family "Bacterial small subunit ribosomal RNA", at positions 84 to 422 of the family's 1533-position model. The record is from RNAcentral.